UCUAUUAACAUUCACAGCCAACUCCAUAAUAACUUUAUAGCUUUGAAAGCUUCUGGUGAAUCUCAAAAGCAUCUACAGUUUUAAUGACUAAUGUAAAAAGAACAGCUGCAACAACAAAUUAUAUUUAAGAGGUAGCUUGGUUUGUGAUAGAGACAAUGUGUGUGGUCGAUGGAACACAAAUGAGGGAGAAAAUGUUUUUGGUGAGACUUUCUGUGCUUUAAUCAAUCAAUUUAUAAGUGAAUUUCAGUGGUGGGGAGAAUACUGAAAAUCUUUGGAGUAUUGAAAAAGUAUAAAAGUACUUUGAUAAGUAAGGCUAUAAACUACUCAAACUACAAGUUACUUUGUGUUUUAAUAUAUGUUGUGUGUGCAGGCCAGAGAUCUUAAUUGAUUAUGCAUUCAGUGUAGUGGUUCAAAGCUGUGUAGGAAGAAGCAAGCGGCUGCAUUUUUAAACCUUUGUCUAAACCUUGGUUUAGCUGCACCGUUUCUAAGCUGCGAGUCAGAUGCUAAGUGAGACAGCAACAGCCCCCAAAGCCCUCCAACUGAACACUACUUGUUGUUGCCAUCAAACACAGUCAAAAUGGACACUGUUUCCCAAAUGUCAGACCUUUUAAUGUUGAAAGAUGAAACCAAAUUAUCAUUUUGUUGCUGCUGUUUACAUUCAUCUGGACGCAAAUUCAAAAAAUGCACUCCAGAAUGUUCGGGGUAUAUACCUGCAUGUUUAUAAAUAACUGUAUAUAUUGUUUUAUUUUAUUUCACUUAUGUGAUAGUGACAAUAUAUCUAUUAAUUAUCGGUUAAGGUAGAUGUGUGUAGCACAACCUUGUGUUGUUAACUACCUUGUACGCGGAGCGUUUUGCCUGCCCGACACUAUUCUCUAUGCUGUUUCUGUGUUGAAAUGGCUUCCAGCAGAAAAAGACUUUGAACGCGUAUUCUCCUGGUGGAAUCACAAGCAUUGUCUAAAAUGGUUGGGGUCAGCUCCGGCGGCCAUGUUGGAACCGAAACGCAACACUGCUGUACCCUGUCAUAAGUCCAAUAUUCACUAGCUCAGUCUUUGGUCUCUACAAACUCCUGAGGUAAAUAUUUUUCUGAAAUGAAAUGUCUAUAAUGAAAUAACAUUUUAUUAUUAUGAGUAAAUUCUUUAUAGUUUAUUUCACAAAUUGUUGUUUGGUUCAUUUAUGUAUUUUAUUCAUGUAAUUAUUUAUUUGAUAAUUAUUAUAUUAUAGCAAAUAAUUAUUUGAUAUUUUGUUGUUCCAUAGACAAGAUAUUGUAUCUUCCUGUAAAUGUGCUGUCAAUUCAGGGAACAAACUGUAUCUAUUUAGUCCCAAAUCUGUUUGUUUAAUAUCCCUUCUAUGUGUGCAUAUGUGAAAAAUUCUGAAGUUCAUUCCUGUUGGCUACCGUGUAAAAUGUUGGGAGAGAGUUGAUGCUGAAAACCAACAGUGACAAUAUACUGGAUGACUAUUUCAACGCAGUUUAUAUUGUUCUCACUGGAAGUGGAUCCCUUAGCAACUCCAGCAGCUGUAUCUUUGAUCACUAUUCUUUCAUCUUUUGUGAACCUGGGACUGGCACGAAAUUGCUGCCUAGCAUGAUAUAUGACAUUCCAUCUCAGAAGCGUAUGAAAAAUAAAUUAGAUUUCCCUUCACCAUUUCCUGAUCAGCCCUCCCCUCCUCCCCCUUCUUUCAUCACACCUGCCUCGCUCUUCCUGCCCAUGCAUAUGGCAGCUCGGGUGUAAAACCCAAACAUUACGGGCGUGUUCACACCAAGGAUGUUACUGAAGGUUUGUUCAAACUCUAGUCUGUUUCCCAUGUGCUCUGAUACUUUCCAGCAAUGCCAUUAUAAACUAAGAUUGCCCCAAAUAAGACCACCUAAAAUGUGGGUCUUCAUUACUUAGUGUGAUGUCAUUUGUCAAGUGUCAGAACAUAUUUUAACUGUAAAUUCAGACCCAAAUGUUAAAGGUGUGAUUUUUCAAAAGUAUACAUUCAACAUUUUGAAAAAUAUGCUUAUUUACUGUCUUUUUAAAUAUAAAUAAUCAUUUGUGAUUGUAUGAGGAGUUACCUGUAGGAACUAUUUCUGCAUGAACAACAAGUUCCAUAUGCACUGUUUUUUAAACCUGUAUCAAUAAAUUUUUUUUGCAACUUUGACAUA
Long non-coding RNA from Micropterus dolomieu (smallmouth bass), 2140 nucleotides. RefSeq lists it as uncharacterized. The transcript has 2 exons. Lineage: Eukaryota; Metazoa; Chordata; Actinopteri; Centrarchiformes; Centrarchidae. The record is from RefSeq and is a predicted model, not a curated record.